UGUGUGAGGGAGGUACCGCUCAUUUGGUAUGCACAUUCGGACGGAAGUUCAAUCGUUUCUCGUUUCAGU
Molecule: non-coding RNA, 69 nt
Organism: Caenorhabditis elegans
Lineage: Eukaryota; Metazoa; Nematoda; Chromadorea; Rhabditida; Rhabditidae
Source: Ensembl